GUCAGCUCGUGUCGUGAGAUGUUGGGUUAAGUCCCGCAACGAGCGCAACCCUCGCCAUUAGUUGCCAUCAUUUAGUUGGGAACUCUAAUGGGACUGCCGGUGCUAAGCCGGAGGAAGGUGGGGAUGACGUCAAGUCCUCAUGGCCCUUACAGGGUGGGCUACACACGUGCUACAAUGGCGACUACAGAGGGUUAAUCCUUAAAAGUCGUCUCAGUUCGGAUUGUCCUCUGCAACUCGAGGGCAUGAAGUUGGAAUCGCUAGUAAUCGCGGAUCAGCAUGCCGCGGUGAAUACGUUCCCGGGCCUUGUACACACCGCCCGUCACACCAUGGGAGUUGGUUCUACCCGAAGGCGCUGCGCUGACCGCAAGGAGGCAGGCGACCACGGUAGGGUCAGCGACUGGGGUGAAGUCGUAACAAGGUAGCCGUAGGGGAACCUGCGGCUGGAUCA
This 448-nucleotide ribosomal RNA is filed under the name uncultured Brevundimonas sp. Its description in RNAcentral is "bacterial SSU rRNA". It matches the Rfam family "Bacterial small subunit ribosomal RNA", at positions 1054 to 1525 of the family's 1533-position model. Lineage: Bacteria; Pseudomonadati; Pseudomonadota; Alphaproteobacteria; Caulobacterales; Caulobacteraceae. The record is from RNAcentral.